This is a long non-coding RNA of Ruditapes philippinarum (Manila clam), 903 nucleotides long. RefSeq lists it as uncharacterized. The record is from RefSeq and is a predicted model, not a curated record. NCBI's taxonomy places the organism in Eukaryota, Metazoa, Mollusca, Bivalvia, Venerida, Veneridae. The transcript is spliced from 2 exons.
ACGUUACCAAUGGUAGGAUACUACGUCAUCGCGCACCUGCUAAAUGCUCCCACUUGGACCAUUUUUUCGUCGACUCAAAGAAAGUAUUUGUAUUUGUGACCAGUAUGGGAAAAGGUAUAAACCACAUUGCGACGUAAGGAAGCACAUGGCAGGACAUCUUGGCACGGCAAAGCUGGAGCAAAUAUUUUAGAUACCAACUGUGGAUAUAUCUCAUUGAGGAGGAAUACUCUAGAAAACACAAGAAUAAUAGUUCUUUGAAGUAAUUGUCAUCUGAAAUUUCACUGGAGGAUAGAUUUCAAUAAAGUAAAAUACCGCAAACAAGAAUGACAACUCUCCAGUUUUAGAGUUAGUGCUCUUUGUAUUCACUAUCAUUAGUUUGCAAGGACCAUACCUCUAAAGGUAUUUGAGAUAUAAACUUAAAACUUUAUAUUGAACAUGUUUAAUAGAAGUGAAUAGCAGAACAUAAGGACCAGAAGUGUUCACUUAAUGCUUCUUUGUUGUUUUUCUUUGUUUUUUUUUUCAUGGGAGUGUUAUUUUUGUCAUGAUUUAUUAUGUCUAGGCUAUAACUUUUCAUUAAUUUUCACGAGUAUCAUUACUUGGAAUUUUUUUUCACGUAUGUAAGGGUUACUUCCCCUUUAAAAUGUUCUUCCUCCUUAUGGCGGGGGAUUUUGCUGUCUGUGAUUCCUUCUUGUAUUAUUGCUAUUAUUUUAACGUCAUUCAAAUAUCCUGAAAUCAUUUUUCUAUGAUUUUAUUCAUAGAUAUAAUGCUCAAAUGAAGAUUUAUCAAUAUUGUAUGUUCCGAAAAGCAUUAUUUGUAAAGAUAAUACCGAAUUUACAUUUCAUAAAGGGAGGUAAUUAGAAAUAUAUUUUCUAUUAAGUGUAAGUUGAAUCUUUCAAAAAGAAA